This 513-nucleotide ribosomal RNA is filed under the name uncultured bacterium. RNAcentral describes it as "bacterial SSU rRNA". It matches the Rfam family "Bacterial small subunit ribosomal RNA", at positions 15 to 518 of the family's 1533-position model. The record is from RNAcentral.
GAUCAUGGCUCAGGAUGAACGCUAGCUACAGGCUUAACACAUGCAAGUCGAGGGGAAACGAUAUUGAAAGCUUGCUUCUUAGGCGUCGACCGGCGAAUGGGUGAGUAACGCGUAUCCAACCUGCCCCUGAGUAAGGGAUAGCCCAUCGAAAGAUGGAUUAAUACCUUAUGGUCUCCUUUGCAGACAUCUAAUUAGGAGUAAAGAUUUAUCGCUGAGGGAUGGGGAUGCGUCUGAUUAGCUUGUUGGCGGGUAACGGCCACCAAGGCAACGAUCAGUAGGGGUUCUGAGAGGAAGGUCCCCCACAUUGGUACUGAGACACGGACCAAACUCCUACGGGAGGCAGCAGUGAGGAAUAUUGGUCAAUGGACGGAAGUCUGAACCAGCCAAGUAGCGUGCAGGAAUGACUGCCCUAUGGGUUGUAAACUGCUUUUAUACGGGGAUAAAGUCAGAGUCGUGACUCUGUUUGCAGGUACCGUAUGAAUAAGGACCGGCUAAUUCCGUGCCAGCCGCUGC